Molecule: ribosomal RNA, 424 nt
Filed under: Rhaebo guttatus group sp. ABGD cluster 2
Lineage: Eukaryota; Metazoa; Chordata; Amphibia; Anura; Bufonidae
Description: partial large subunit ribosomal RNA
Rfam family: Bacterial large subunit ribosomal RNA
Source: RNAcentral
CUUGACUAACCAUAGGAGGUCCAGCCUGCCCAGUGACUCUGUUCAACGGCCGCGGUAUCCUAACCGUGCGAAGGUAGCGUAAUCACUUGUUCUUUAAAUGAGGACUAGUAUGAAUGGCACCACGAGGGCUACACUGUCUCCUUUUUUUAAUCAGUGAACUUAAUCUUCCCGUGAAGAAGCGGGAAUAAACCUAUAAGACGAGAAGACCCUAUGGAGCUUAAAACAACAUAGCACUUGCCACAUAACACAAAAAUUUCUGAAUACCCCAAUUUUUCAAAGCAACAUGACUAUAAGUUUUUGGUUGGGGUGACCGCGGAGCAUAACACAACCUCCACGUUGAACGAACUUUAUUCUAAGCCACGAACCACUCUCCUAAGCAUCAAUACAUUGACAUUAAUUGACCCAAUAUAUUUGACCAACGAAC